Ataeniobius toweri is the source of this 74-nucleotide non-coding RNA. The record is from the annotation of a GenBank genome assembly. Lineage: Eukaryota; Metazoa; Chordata; Actinopteri; Cyprinodontiformes; Goodeidae.
AUCACGGUGGCACAGUGGGUAAUGCUGUUGCCUUGCAGCCAGAAGGUCCUGGGUACGAUUCCCAGCCGGGGGUC